UGGGGAAUAUUGGACAAUGGGGGAAACCCUGAUCCAGCAACGCCGCGUGGAGGAUGAAGGUCUUCGGAUUGUAAACUCCUGUUAGAGGGGACGAAGGAACGCCGGUGAAUAUCCGGCGGACUUGACGGUACCCUCAGAGGAAGCCCCGGCUAACUCUGUGCCAGCAGCCGCGGUAAUACAGAGGGGGCAAGCGUUAUUCGGAAUUAUUGGGCGUAAAGGGCGCGUAGGCGGCCGUGUAAGUCUCGGGUGAAAUCCCUCGGCUCAACCGAGGAACUGCCUUGGAUACUGCAUGGCUUGAGGCCGGGAGAGGGUAGUGGAAUUCCCAGUGUAGCGGUGAAAUGCGUAGAUAUUGGGAGGAACACCGGUGGCGAAGGCGGCUACCUGGACCGGUUCUGACGCUGAUGCGCGAAAGCGUGGGGAGCAAACAGGAUUAGAUACCCUGGUAGUCCACGCUGUAAACGAUGGGUGCUCGGUGUCGCGGGUAUCGACCCCUGCGGUGCCUUAGCUAACGCGUUAAGCACCCCG
RNAcentral lists this ribosomal RNA (525 nucleotides) under uncultured Acidobacteriota bacterium. RNAcentral's name for it is "bacterial SSU rRNA". It matches the Rfam family "Bacterial small subunit ribosomal RNA", at positions 355 to 871 of the family's 1533-position model. The record is from RNAcentral. Lineage: Bacteria; Pseudomonadati; Acidobacteriota.